GUCAAUCAAGCUCAGCUGGAAGAGCAUGAGACUCUUAAUCUCAAGGUUGUGGGUUCAGCCCCACAUGGGCUGGACU
Non-coding RNA from Podarcis lilfordi (Lilford's wall lizard), 76 nucleotides. The record is from the annotation of a GenBank genome assembly. Lineage: Eukaryota; Metazoa; Chordata; Lepidosauria; Squamata; Lacertidae.